CCUACGGGCGGCAGCAGUGAGGAAUAUUGGUCAAUGGACGAGAGUCUGAACCAGCCAAGUAGCGUGAAGGAUGACUGCCCUAUGGGUUGUAAACUUCUUUUAUAUGGGAAUAAAAUGUUCCACGUGUGGGAUUUUGUAUGUACCAUAUGAAUAAGGAUCGGCUAACUCCGUGCCAGCAGCCGCGGUAAUACGGAGGAUCCGAGCGUUAUCCGGAUUUAUUGGGUGUAAAGGGAGCGUAGGUGGAUUGUUAAGUCAGUUGUGAAAGUUUGCGGCUCAACCGUAAAAUUGCAGUUGAAACUGGCAGUCUUGAGUACAGUAGAGGUGGGCGGAAUUCGUGGUGUAGCGGUGAAAUGCUUAGAUAUCACGAAGAACUCCGAUUGCGAAGGCAGUUCACUGGACUGCAACUGACACUGAGGCUCGAAAGUGUGGGUAUCAAACAGGAUUAGAUACCCGGGUAGUC
RNAcentral lists this ribosomal RNA (460 nucleotides) under uncultured bacterium. Its description in RNAcentral is "partial 16S ribosomal RNA". It matches the Rfam family "Bacterial small subunit ribosomal RNA", at positions 338 to 795 of the family's 1533-position model. The record is from RNAcentral.